RNAcentral lists this ribosomal RNA (177 nucleotides) under uncultured Streptococcus sp. RNAcentral's name for it is "partial 16S ribosomal RNA". It matches the Rfam family "Bacterial small subunit ribosomal RNA", at positions 1206 to 1382 of the family's 1533-position model. Lineage: Bacteria; Bacillati; Bacillota; Bacilli; Lactobacillales; Streptococcaceae. The record is from RNAcentral.
AACCUGGGCUACACACGUGCUACAAUGGUUGGUACAACGAGUUGCGAGUCGGUGACGGCGAGCUAAUCUCUUAAAGCCAAUCUCAGUUCGGAUUGUAGGCUGCAACUCGCCUACAUGAAGUCGGAAUCGCUAGUAAUCGCGGAUCAGCACGCCGCGGUGAAUACGUUCCCGGGCCUU